UCGAAACCUCAAAUGGAUGGU
This 21-nucleotide small nuclear RNA is filed under the name Arabidopsis thaliana (thale cress). RNAcentral's name for it is "snRNA_16786". Lineage: Eukaryota; Viridiplantae; Streptophyta; Magnoliopsida; Brassicales; Brassicaceae. The record is from RNAcentral.